RNAcentral lists this ribosomal RNA (440 nucleotides) under uncultured bacterium. RNAcentral's name for it is "partial 16S ribosomal RNA". It matches the Rfam family "Bacterial small subunit ribosomal RNA", at positions 338 to 795 of the family's 1533-position model. The record is from RNAcentral.
CCUACGGGAGACAGCAGUGGGGAAUAUUGCACAAUGGGGGAAACCCUGAUGCAGCGACGCCGCGUGAGUGAAGAAGUAUUUCGGUAUGUAAAGCUCUAUCAGCAGGGAAGAAAAUGACCGUACCCUACUAAGAAGCCCCGGCUAACUACGUGCCAGCCGCCGCGGUAAUUCGUAGGGGGCAAGCGGUAUCCGGAUUUACUGGGUGUAAAGGGAGCGUAGACGGCGGAACAAGUCAGAAGUGAAAACCCAGGGCUCAACCCUGGGAGUGCUUUUGAAACUGUUUGGCUGGAGUGCAGGAGAGGUAAGCGGAAUUCCUAGUGUAGCGGUGAAAUGCGUAGAUAUUAGGAGGAACACCAGUGGCGAAGGCGGCUUACUGGACUGUAACUGACGUUGAGGCUCGAAAGCGUGGGGAGCAAACAGGAUUAGAUACCCGAGUAGUC